RNAcentral lists this ribosomal RNA (564 nucleotides) under uncultured bacterium. RNAcentral describes it as "bacterial SSU rRNA". It matches the Rfam family "Bacterial small subunit ribosomal RNA", at positions 338 to 916 of the family's 1533-position model. The record is from RNAcentral.
CCUACGGGAGGCAGCAGUAGGGAAUUUUCCGCAAUGGGCGAAAGCCUGACGGAGCAAUACCGCGUGAGGGAUGACGGCCUGUGGGUUGUAAACCUCUUUUCUCAAGGAAGAAGUUCUGACGGUACUUGAGGAAUAAGCAUCGGCUAACUCUGUGCCAGCAGCCGCGGUAAUACAGAGGAUGCAAGCGUUAUCCGGAAUCACUGGGCAUAAAGCGUCUGUAGGUUGUUUAGUAAGUCUGCUGUUAAAGACUGGGGCUUAACCCCAGAAAAGCAGUGGAAACUGCUAGACUCGAGUGUGGUAGAGGUAGAGGGAAUUCCUAGUGUAGCGGUGAAAUGCGUAGAUAUUAGGAAGAACACCAAUGGCGAAGGCACUCUACUGGGCCAUAACUGACACUGAGAGACGACAGCUAGGGGAGCAAACGGGAUUAGAUACCCCGGUAGUCCUAGCCGUAAACGAUGGAUACUAGAUGUUGCACGUAUUAACCCGUGCAGUAUCGUAGCUAAGGCGUUAAGUAUCCCGCCUGGGAAGUACGCUCGCAAGAGUGAAACUCAAAUGAAUUGACGG